CAGGCUCUGGGUCCACCCGUCCUCGCUGAUCCAUGGAUUUCUGUGUGACCAGCUUUGGGGCACAACCUGAAGACCCUCACAGUCACUGUCACCAUCUCCACCUUCUGGUAUUCAUCAGACAGGAGCAACAGCUCAGCCACGUUCAACUCCACUGAGAGGAUCCUGCAGAGCUUGGUGAGACCCUGGUCCCAGCAGCUCCUGCUGGAUCCUUGUUCAAGAAGAGCAGCCUGGGCCCCUUCUCCUUGAGUGGCAGACUGGUCUCCCUCAGUGGCUCCAGGCUCUGCACCCUGGAGUUUAUGCAUGCAGAGAGAGCACCAGCUACAUUUCCGCAACAUCAACUGGAACCUCAGCAACCCGGAGCCCACAUCCUCGGAGUACACCGCCCUGCAGAGAGACACCCAGGACCAGAAUAUUCUCCCAACAGAGAUGACACCUUGAUUUUGAAGCCUAGUAAGCCUGCAGGAAGCCCCAGCCCAGGGUAGGAGGCGAGUAUCUUGAUGCUGUGCCUCAUCGAAGAGAACCAUGUGAACAGGUUUUUGGAUGA
Diceros bicornis minor is the source of this 544-nucleotide long non-coding RNA. RefSeq lists it as uncharacterized. Lineage: Eukaryota; Metazoa; Chordata; Mammalia; Perissodactyla; Rhinocerotidae. The transcript has 5 exons. The record is from RefSeq and is a predicted model, not a curated record.